Molecule: long non-coding RNA, 474 nt
Organism: Bradysia coprophila
Lineage: Eukaryota; Metazoa; Arthropoda; Insecta; Diptera; Sciaridae
Source: RefSeq, a predicted model, not a curated record
UGAAUAGAUAGGUUAAUGGGGCUGCAAUCGUUUUAUAAGAAGGUGGUUUCUUGCGUUGGCGUUAGUUGACGAUCAAAGUAGUAGCCAUGAAGACCUUUAUUGUUGUUUUGUUGUCGUGCAUUGUUUUCGCAGCAGCUUUCGAUGCUUCGAAACAAGAUAUUCCACUUCCAAGAAACGAAGAAUGUGCAUCAACAUGCUUAUGGGCUGGAGUAUACAAUGUGCCAAGUUUCCAAAGCUGUACCCGGUAUCUUCAUUGUGUCCAUGGUUUCCUUUUUGAACUUGAGUGCGAAAAUGGUGAGGAAUUUGAUCACUUGACUCUACUCUGUCAACCAGCUGAUGAAGGUCGUUGCGUACUUGAGGGUCCAAUUACAUCAUCUGAAGAGACCUCUGAAGGAACUUCUGAAGAAUCUAACUAAGGUGUAGCAUUGUACUAAAUGAUUUUUGAUUAAAUUAAAAACUCAACCUCUACCAAAC